RNAcentral lists this long non-coding RNA (280 nucleotides) under Canis lupus familiaris (dog). Its description in RNAcentral is "lncRNA (ENSCAFG00000046910.2, ENSCAFG00845002355.1)". The record is from RNAcentral. Lineage: Eukaryota; Metazoa; Chordata; Mammalia; Carnivora; Canidae.
AAAAGGCUGCAUUCAAAUAUCUGUCAAAUCUUACCUGAAAAACUAGAAACUCAAAAAGGAUUCCAGACUGUCAAAAUAUUAUCACAAAGGCCCAUGUACACCAGCAGUCUGCUGUUUGUGACCAAAAUGACCAUUUGGAGACAUCAAACAACCAGUCCUCAACCAGCAACUGACCAGUAAUUUGUCCUAUUGGUCAAAUUACUUUUGCAUGUUUAGAUCUUGCCUCAGAAGAUUUUGUGGUCUAGCAGAUGGCUUCAGGAAAAUCACGUCUACUUUACAC